UAUAGUCUUCAGGCCAUCAAAACACGGUUCAUGCAGAAAUUUCCCAACAGAUCACUGAGCACUGUUAUAAUGCAGGAUCUGUAACUCAACCAAAACAUGCAUUUUGUACUCAUCAAUAACUUUGUUAAGAGUUUCUAAUCAAAUUGGGGAGAUGAACCCUACAAAAGAAAUGGCAUAAGACCUUUAGAGAGAUCUAUAACCACAAGAAUAGAAUAUUGCACACUGUAAAAUGAAUACAUAAGAAGAAUGAACAGUCAUGAUGGCUUAGAAAGAAAGAAUUCAUUAAGCUCCACAUCACAAUGUGAACACAGUAAGGAAAAAAAAUGGGGAAC
RNAcentral lists this long non-coding RNA (332 nucleotides) under Phascolarctos cinereus (koala). RNAcentral's name for it is "lncRNA (ENSPCIG00000018891.2)". Lineage: Eukaryota; Metazoa; Chordata; Mammalia; Diprotodontia; Phascolarctidae. The record is from RNAcentral.